This 172-nucleotide ribosomal RNA is filed under the name uncultured Anoxybacillus sp. Its description in RNAcentral is "partial 16S ribosomal RNA". It matches the Rfam family "Bacterial small subunit ribosomal RNA", at positions 1211 to 1382 of the family's 1533-position model. Lineage: Bacteria; Bacillati; Bacillota; Bacilli; Caryophanales; Anoxybacillaceae. The record is from RNAcentral.
GGGCUACACACGUGCUACAGUGGGCGGUACAAAGGGUCGCGAACCCGCGAGGGGGAGCCAAUCCCAAAAAGCCGCUCUCAGUUCGGAUUGCAGGCUGCAACUCGCCUGCAUGAAGCCGGAAUCGCUAGUAAUCGCGGAUCAGCAUGCCGCGGUGAAUACGUUCCCGGGCCUU